UAACCUGCCCAAGAGACUGGGAUAACACCUGGAAACAGAUGCUAAUACCGGAUAACAACACUAGACGCAUGUCUAGAGUUUAAAAGAUGGUUCUGCUAUCACUCUUGGAUGGACCUGCGGUGCAUUAGCUAGUUAGUAAGGUAACGGCUUACCAAGGCAAUGAUGCAUAGCCGAGUUGAGAGACUGAUCGGCCACAUUGGGACUGAGACACGGCCCAAACUCCUACGGAAGGCAGCAG
This 238-nucleotide ribosomal RNA is filed under the name uncultured bacterium. Its description in RNAcentral is "partial 16S ribosomal RNA". It matches the Rfam family "Bacterial small subunit ribosomal RNA", at positions 122 to 354 of the family's 1533-position model. The record is from RNAcentral.